RNAcentral lists this ribosomal RNA (2925 nucleotides) under Serratia marcescens. RNAcentral's name for it is "bacterial LSU rRNA". It matches the Rfam family "Bacterial large subunit ribosomal RNA". The record is from RNAcentral. Lineage: Bacteria; Pseudomonadati; Pseudomonadota; Gammaproteobacteria; Enterobacterales; Yersiniaceae.
GGGUUGUGAGGUUAAGUGACUAAGCGUACACGGUGGAUGCCUAGGCAGUCAGAGGCGAUGAAGGGCGUGCUAAUCUGCGAAAAGCGUCGGUAAGGUGAUAUGAACCGUUAUAACCGGCGAUACCCGAAUGGGGAAACCCAGUGUGUUUCGACACACUAUCAUGUCAUGAAUACAUAGUGGCAUGAGGCGAACCGGGGGAACUGAAACAUCUAAGUACCCCGAGGAAAAGAAAUCAACCGAGAUUCCCCAGUAGCGGCGAGCGAACGGGAGAAGCCCAGAACCUGAAUCGGCUUGUGUGUUAGUGGAAGCGUCUGGAAAGUCGCGCAGCAAGGGUGAUAGCCCCGUACACUAAAAUGCACAGGUCGUGAGUUCGAUGAGUAGGGCGGGACACGUGACAUCCUGUCUGAAUAUGGGGACCAUCCUCCAAGGCUAAAUACUCCUGACUGACCGAUAGUGAACCAGUACCGUGAGGAAAGGCGAAAAGAACCCCGGCGAGGGAGUGAAAUAGAACCUGAAACCGUGUACGUACAAGCAGUGGGAGCACCUUCGUGGUGUGACUGCGUACCUUUGUAUAAUGGGUCAGCGACUUAUAUUUUGUAGCAAGGUUAACCGUAUAGGGAGCCGUAGGAAACCGAGUCUUAACUGGGCGAAUAGUUGCAAGGUAUAGACCCGAAACCCGGUGAUCUAGCCAUGGGCAGGUUGAAGGUUGGGUAACACUAACUGGAGGACCGAACCGACUAAUGUUGAAAAAUUAGCGGAUGACUUGUGGCUGGGGUGAAAGGCCAAUCAAACCGGGAGAUAGCUGGUUCUCCCGAAAGCUAUUUAGGUAGCGCCUCGUGAACUCAUCUUCGGGGGUAGAGCACUGUUUCGGCUAGGGGGCCAUCCCGGCUUACCAAACCGAUGCAAACUCCGAAUACCGAAGAAUGUUAUCACGGGAGACACACGGCGGGUGCUAACGUCCGUCGUGAAGAGGAAACAACCCAGACCGCCAGCUAAGGUCCCAAAGUCAUGGUUAAGUGGGAAACGAUGUGGGAAGGCACAGACAGCCAGGAUGUUGGCUUAGAAGCAGCCAUCAUUUAAAGAAAGCGUAAUAGCUCACUGGUCGAGUCGGCCUGCGCGGAAGAUGUAACGGGGCUAAACCAUGCACCGAAGCUGCGGCAGCGACGCUUAGGCGUUGUUGGGUAGGGGAGCGUUCUGUAAGCCGUUGAAGGUGGCCUGUGAGGGUUGCUGGAGGUAUCAGAAGUGCGAAUGCUGACAUAAGUAACGAUAAAGCGGGUGAAAAGCCCGCUCGCCGGAAGACCAAGGGUUCCUGUCCAACGUUAAUCGGGGCAGGGUGAGUCGACCCCUAAGGCGAGGCUGAAAAGCGUAGUCGAUGGGAAACAGGUUAAUAUUCCUGUACUUGGUGUUACUGCGAAGGGGGGACGGAGAAGGCUAGGCUAGCCGGGCGACGGUUGUCCCGGUUUAAGCGUGUAGGGGGUGUGACCUGGUAAAUCCGGUUGCAUAUCAACCCUGAGGCGUGAUGACGAUGCACUACGGUGCAGAAGUAGUUGAUGCCCUGCUUCCAGGAAAAUCCUCUAAGCUCCAGGUAACAUUGAAUCGUACCCCAAACCGACACAGGUGGUCAGGUAGAGAAUACCAAGGCGCUUGAGAGAACUCGGGUGAAGGAACUAGGCAAAAUGGUGCCGUAACUUCGGGAGAAGGCACGCUGGCAUGUAGGUGAAGUCCCUUGCGGAUGGAGCUGAAGCCAGUCGAAGAUACCAGCUGGCUGCAACUGUUUAAUAAAAACACAGCACUGUGCAAACACGAAAGUGGACGUAUACGGUGUGACGCCUGCCCGGUGCUGGAAGGUUAAUUGAUGGGGUCAGCCGCAAGGCGAAGCUCUUGAUCGAAGCCCCAGUAAACGGCGGCCGUAACUAUAACGGUCCUAAGGUAGCGAAAUUCCUUGUCGGGUAAGUUCCGACCUGCACGAAUGGCGUAAUGAUGGCCAGGCUGUCUCCACCCGAGACUCAGUGAAAUUGAACUCGCUGUGAAGAUGCAGUGUACCCGCGGCAAGACGGAAAGACCCCGUGAACCUUUACUAUAGCUUGACACUGAACAUUGAGCCUUGAUGUGUAGGAUAGGUGGGAGGCUUUGAAGCGUGGACGCCAGUCUGCGUGGAGCCAUCCUUGAAAUACCACCCUUUAAUGUUUGAUGUUCUAACUCUGCCCCGUGAUCCGGGGUGAGGACAGUGUCUGGUGGGUAGUUUGACUGGGGCGGUCUCCUCCCAAAGAGUAACGGAGGAGCACGAAGGUUAGCUAAUCACGGUCGGACAUCGUGAGGUUAGUGCAAAGGCAUAAGCUAGCUUGACUGCGAGAGUGACGGCUCGAGCAGGUACGAAAGUAGGUCUUAGUGAUCCGGUGGUUCUGAAUGGAAGGGCCAUCGCUCAACGGAUAAAAGGUACUCCGGGGAUAACAGGCUGAUACCGCCCAAGAGUUCAUAUCGACGGCGGUGUUUGGCACCUCGAUGUCGGCUCAUCACAUCCUGGGGCUGAAGUAGGUCCCAAGGGUAUGGCUGUUCGCCAUUUAAAGUGGUACGCGAGCUGGGUUUAGAACGUCGUGAGACAGUUCGGUCCCUAUCUGCCGUGGGCGUUGGAAGAUUGAGAGGGGUUGCUCCUAGUACGAGAGGACCGGAGUGAACGCACCACUGGUGUUCGGGUUGUCAUGCCAAUGGCAUUGCCCGGUAGCUAAGUGCGGAAAAGAUAAGCGCUGAAAGCAUCUAAGCGCGAAACUUGCCUCAAGAUGAGUCUUCCCUGGGCCUUUAAGGCCCCUGAAGGAACGUUUAAGACUAAGACGUUGAUAGGCUGGGUGUGUAAGUGCAGCGAUGCAUUGAGCUAACCAGUACUAAUGAUCCGUGAGGCUUAACCUUACAACACCGAAGGUGUUUUAG